RNAcentral lists this long non-coding RNA (1551 nucleotides) under Salmo salar (Atlantic salmon). RNAcentral's name for it is "lncRNA (ENSSSAG00000098638.1)". The record is from RNAcentral. Lineage: Eukaryota; Metazoa; Chordata; Actinopteri; Salmoniformes; Salmonidae.
UUACAUUUACAUUUUAGUCAUUUAGCAGACGCUCUUAUCCAGAGCGACUUACAGUAGUGAAUGCAUACAUUUCAUACAUUUUUUUCCAUACUGGUCCCCCGUAUUCUGAUCUACAUAGAUCAUCUAAAAACAAAGGAAAUGUAUAUCAAUGAACUUUAUUGAGCUUUGUAUACAUUGCACCAUUAUAAUAGAAAUAGAAAAUAGAAUAGAUAGCGUAAAGGCAAAAAAUUAACACAAGUGUUUUUGGUUAACUUCAUAUUCUUGUCUUUUUUCAGUUUCCUGCUCAGGGAAGCAAUGUUGGAAUGGAAGUGUUUGAGUACUUCCAAUCUGUACUGAUUAUUCUUGCAAUGCAUUGUGCAAAGAAACAUAAGAUGGCGGCAGGGCAGUUUUGCUGAGCGUGUUGUGCCACACUGUUUGUUUGUUUCAAGUGUUACAAGUUUUUAUUACUUAGCAAAACCGUUAUAGGCUGCGAGAGUUGUCAUUAAACAACAGGCAAAAUCUAAAAUCCUACAUGAUCAAAUCAAUUAAAACUUUAAAUUGACAUCUGCUGGUUUCUACACGAUGAGAUAAAGCCGGUGUGGUGCCCUCCCUGAAAGCCGAGAGAGAAUACAUCUGUGCUGUGACUGACGGUCUAGACACGUUGGGCCGACUAGCCUUGGAUACUCCUCCACGGUCAGGUUUUAAUUAGUGUUUCGCCAUUCUACCGGAGUCUUCUGACUCCUCUCCUGCCCCGCUGUGUGGUGGAAGCCGGAGGUUGGUAUCUGCACUGUGACAACGUCUAGAUGCGCUAGGCUUCCUAGCCCAGGAUACCCCUGUCAGGUGGACUAGCCACCAGUGAUUAGCCGGUCUACUGGGCCUGCUCUGCCUCACUGUGCGGUCUGGACUAGCAGAUGUUUACAGCAGAGACAAGCUUUUCAUCCUUACUCCACCAACAUAUCUACAAAAUAUCCCUGCCUAAAUUAUAGUUUUUAGUAAGACCUGUUGUUGGGAUUUGUAAAAAAAAUCUAAAGCUACUGAUCUGACCAAAUAUACUGAGUAGAAUUUUUUUGGUCUGGAAUAAGUAGAUUUGGUUUGAACACCCCCAUUAUUAUAUGAACUGUUUUCACCGUUGUUCUUAAAGAGUGACAAAUUAAGGACAUUUAUUGGGAUAUCUGUCAGCAAAAUGCAAUAAAAAGUACCAACAUGUAGUUAGAUAUGAGGUGAAAUGUUCCAUAUUUAAAUCAAUAUAAUGAUUGUACACAAGUUUACAAAAUUGUACAUCAUGCACAGUAACUGAAACUGAAAUACCCACUGUUGAUUAUUAAUUGGAAAUGUAACAAACAAAGAUGAACAACAAUUAAUAAUUUAAGUAGAUUGGGACCCUUGUUAGUCAAGAGGAGCAACCCAGCAGACACAGAGCAACCACAGAAUGUUGCCACAACAAAGUUGUGUGGUGGUUGUAUAGUAUUGCAUAUUGCACCUGUCAUUGUAAGCCCUCUGUGUUCUGUAAUUUUUUUCCCAGAUUAUACAGUAAGAAUAAAAUUGUUUGGAAUAUGUAUUUGUUUGGUUGUG